RNAcentral lists this ribosomal RNA (248 nucleotides) under uncultured bacterium. Its description in RNAcentral is "partial 16S ribosomal RNA". It matches the Rfam family "Bacterial small subunit ribosomal RNA", at positions 56 to 334 of the family's 1533-position model. The record is from RNAcentral.
UGCAAGUCGAGGGGACCGCAAGGUAACCGGCAAACGAGGUAGUAACACGUAGGUAGAUCCCCCGAAGUCGGGCAUAGCCAUCCGAAAGGAUGGGUAAUUCCCGAUAGUCCCGCAAGGGUAAAGGUUUUUCGCUUCGGGAGUUGCCUGCGUAGUAUCAGCUAGUUGGUAAGGUAAUGGCUUACCAAGGCUACGACGCUUAGGGGAGCUGAGAGGCUGACCCCCACCGAUGGAACUGCGACACGGUCCAU